UGUCCGAGUUGUAAUUUGAAGAAGGUAACUUUGGAGUUGGCUCUUGUCUAUGUUCCUUGGAACAGGACGUCACAGAGGGUGAGAAUCCCGUGCGAUGAGAUGCCCAAUUCUAUGUAAAGUGCUUUCGAAGAGUCGAGUUGUUUGGGAAUGCAGCUCUAAGUGGGUGGUAAAUUCCAUCUAAAGCUAAAUAUUGGCGAGAGACCGAUAGCGAACAAGUACAGUGAUGGAAAGAUGAAAAGAACUUUGAAAAGAGAGUGAAAAAGUACGUGAAAUUGUUGAAAGGGAAGGGCUUGAGAUCAGACUUGGUAUUUUGCGAUCCUUUCCUUCUUGGUUGGGUUCCUCGCAGCUUACUGGGCCAGCAUCGGUUUGGAUGGUAGGAUAAUGACUAAGGAAUGUGGCUCUACUUCGGUGGAGUGUUAUAGC
RNAcentral lists this ribosomal RNA (423 nucleotides) under Debaryomyces hansenii. RNAcentral's name for it is "partial large subunit ribosomal RNA". It matches the Rfam family "Eukaryotic large subunit ribosomal RNA", at positions 135 to 563 of the family's 3401-position model. Lineage: Eukaryota; Fungi; Ascomycota; Pichiomycetes; Serinales; Debaryomycetaceae. The record is from RNAcentral.